This 199-nucleotide long non-coding RNA is filed under the name Citrus sinensis (sweet orange). Its description in RNAcentral is "long non-coding RNA (CSIN_LNC002660)". Lineage: Eukaryota; Viridiplantae; Streptophyta; Magnoliopsida; Sapindales; Rutaceae. The record is from RNAcentral.
AGUAUGGACAUCCUCUCCUGUGAGGGGUUAUUUGUAUUGGGCAUGUACUUCAUAGAAUUCAUUGUAAUAAUGUAAGUCCCAAUCAUGUAUAUCUGAUUGUAAAUAUCAGUGUAAUACCUCUGCUACAAUAAGCAGUUGUUGUAAAUAUCUGUGUAAUGCAGUAAUCUGAUGAUUAAUCAGUCUCAAAAAAAAAAAAAAA